AAAGAAUUAGUUUAACUUUCUUAAAACAUUAAAUUGUCAAUUUAAAAAUAUUUUUUUAUUAUAAUUUAGAUAUUCUUUA
This 79-nucleotide transfer RNA is filed under the name Nylanderia flavipes. RNAcentral describes it as "tRNA-Asp". Lineage: Eukaryota; Metazoa; Arthropoda; Insecta; Hymenoptera; Formicidae. The record is from RNAcentral.